Molecule: long non-coding RNA, 1183 nt
Filed under: Salmo salar (Atlantic salmon)
Lineage: Eukaryota; Metazoa; Chordata; Actinopteri; Salmoniformes; Salmonidae
Description: lncRNA (ENSSSAG00000111474.1)
Source: RNAcentral
GUUUUAUUAAGUGGUAUUGGGUUAUGUUAAGUUGUAUUGGGUUGUAUUAAGUGGUAUUGGGUUCUGUUAAGUUGUAUUGGGUUGUAUUAAGUUGAAUUGGGUUUUGUUAAGUUGUAUUUGUUUUUUAAGUUGUAUUGGGUUGUAUUAAGUUGUAUUGGGUUUUAUUAAGUUGUAUUGGGUUUUGUUAAGUUGUAUUUGUUUUUUAAGUUGUAUUGGGUUGUAUUAAGUUGUAUUGGGUUUUGUUAAGUUGUAUUGGGUUUUAUUAAGUGGUAUUGGGUUCUGUUAAGUUGUAUUGGGUUUUAUUAAGUUGUAUUGGGUUCUGUUAAGUUGUAUUGGGUUUUAUGAAGUUGUAUUGUUUUUUAAAGUUGUAUUGGGUUUUGUUGUUUUGUAUUGGGUUUUGUUAAGUUGUAUUGGGUUUUGUUAAGUUGUAUUGGGUUUUAUUAAGUGGUAUUGGGUUCUGUUAAGUUGUAUUGGGUUUUAUUAAGUUGUAUUGGGUUCUGUUAAGUUGUAUUGGGUUUUAUGAAGUUGUAUUGUUUUUUAAAGUUGUAUUGGGUUUUGUUAAGUUGUAUUGGGGUUUGUUAAGUUGUAUUGGGAUUAAUUACGUUGUGUUGGGUUUUAUUAAGUUGUAUUGGGUUAUGUUUAGUUGUAUUGGGUUUUGUUAAGUUGUAUUGGGUUUUAUUAAGUGGUAUUGGGUUCUGUUAAGUUGUAUUGGGUUGUAUUAAGUUGAAUUGGGUUUUGUUAAGUUGUAUUUGUUUUUUAAGUUGUAUUGGGUUUUAUUAAGUUGUAUUGGGUUUUAUUAAGUUGUAUUGGGUUUUAUUAAGUUGUAUUGGGUUUUGUUUAGUUGUAUUGGGUUUUAUGAAGUUGUAUUGGGUUUUGUUAAGUUGUAUUUGUUUUUUAAGUUGUAUUGGGUUGUAUUAAGUUGUAUUGGGUUUUGUUAAGUUGUAUUGGGUUUUAUUAAGUGGUAUUGGGUUCUGUUAAGUUGUAUUGGGUUUUAUUAAGUUGUAUUGGGUUCUGUUAAGUUGUAUUGGGUUUUAUGAAGUUGUAUUGUUUUUUAAAGUUGUAUUGGGUUUUGUUAAGUUGUAUUGGGUUUUGUUAAGUUGUAUUGGGUUUUAUUAAGUUGUAUUGGGUUCUGUUAAGUUGUAUUGGGUUUUAUGAAGUUGUAUUGUUUUUUAAAGUUGUAUUG